Molecule: ribosomal RNA, 49 nt
Filed under: Ancylobacter aquaticus
Lineage: Bacteria; Pseudomonadati; Pseudomonadota; Alphaproteobacteria; Hyphomicrobiales; Xanthobacteraceae
Source: RNAcentral
GCCGAUGGUACUAUGUCUCAAGACCUGGGAGAGUAGGUCGCUGCCAGGC